CCAGCGCCGACCUCCGAUCCAGCACCGACCGUCGAUCCAGCGCCGACCAUGGUGGAUGCACCGACUGUCCCUGAGCUCUUCCCGAUCGAAGAGAUCGACUCUGAAGGAUGAUCAGGGUCUUAUCAUUUUUUGUUUUGCUUUACAUACUUGUAACCGGGCUUCGGCCCAAUUUUGUAGACUUGAAUAUACUUAAGCAUAUUUUCAAUUUCAUUUUCAGCUUCUUUCCUUCGCCUGUCAGGAUGUGCUCUAACUUAGAGUCGCAAAGUCGUAGAGUCGUAGACCCGACGUACCACAUUAGGUCACUUAGCGACAUCCCAAGUCGUUAGUCGGGGUAGUCGGCAACAUACGCCAUAGGAAAGGCAAGGCGAACUUCGAUCACGAAUCGUCCGUUCGACGGUCAUAGUGUGCGUCCGUCGGAGGCCUGAGCCGAACGUC
This 435-nucleotide long non-coding RNA is filed under the name Elaeis guineensis (African oil palm). RNAcentral describes it as "long non-coding RNA (EGUI_LNC080476)". Lineage: Eukaryota; Viridiplantae; Streptophyta; Magnoliopsida; Arecales; Arecaceae. The record is from RNAcentral.